Molecule: long non-coding RNA, 336 nt
Filed under: Elaeis guineensis (African oil palm)
Lineage: Eukaryota; Viridiplantae; Streptophyta; Magnoliopsida; Arecales; Arecaceae
Description: long non-coding RNA (EGUI_LNC036408)
Source: RNAcentral
AUAGCACACCGUCCAUCGCACGAUGGACGGCCACGUGCGGAUGCACGCUCGUUGCGUGCAGCCAUGUGCGGCCAUCCAUCGUGCGAUGGAUGGGGCAUGCUGUGCACUACACGGUAUGAUGUACAGUAGAGAAUUAGUGCAUAAUUAAUUAAGGGAGGGUCAAAAGAGAGCAAGGCGUCAUCUCAUAUAGGAAAGUAAGGGGAAGGAGAUGGGAAUCAGAUCUGAGUGGCUAUCUUCAUAGGAGGAGAUAUAAGAGAAAAAGGGUCCAAGGAGACUGCCUUCAUUGGGAAAGAGGGAAGAGAAAAAGGAUGGAGGAUGGUUUCCUUCGUAGGUGAA